UGGGGGAUAUUGCACAAUGGAGGAAACUCUGAUGCAGCAACGCCGCGUGAGGGAAGAAGGUCUUCGGAUUGUAAACCUCAGUAGUCAGGGACGAAAGAAAUGACGGUACCUGAAGAGUAAGCUCCGGCUAACUACGUGCCAGCAGCCGCGGUAAUACGUAGGGAGCGAGCGUUGUCCGGAUUUACUGGGUGUAAAGGGUGCGUAGGCGGGAUAGCAAGUCAGACGUGAAAUACCGAGGCUUAACUUCGGGGCUGCGUUUGAAACUGUUAUACUUGAGUGAAGUAGAGGCAGGCGGAAUUCCUAGUGUAGCGGUGAAAUGCGUAGAUAUUAGGAGGAACACCAGUGGCGAAGGCGGCCUGCUGGGCUUUAACUGACGCUGAGGCACGAAAGCAUGGGGAGCAAACA
RNAcentral lists this ribosomal RNA (405 nucleotides) under uncultured bacterium. RNAcentral's name for it is "bacterial SSU rRNA". It matches the Rfam family "Bacterial small subunit ribosomal RNA", at positions 355 to 774 of the family's 1533-position model. The record is from RNAcentral.